This 1880-nucleotide long non-coding RNA is filed under the name Medicago truncatula (barrel medic). Its description in RNAcentral is "lncRNA gene42251". Lineage: Eukaryota; Viridiplantae; Streptophyta; Magnoliopsida; Fabales; Fabaceae. The record is from RNAcentral.
CAUCAAAAUGAAACAACUAUGUCGCAAAAGCAAAAGAAGUAACACGAGGUGUAUUGUUGCUAUUUCUUUGAUGAGAAUGAGAAGACCUAGCAAGUGGUGGUUUAUUAAUAUUUACACCCCCUACCCUACUACUAAUUACACCACCACCAUUCACUUGUUUCCAUGCUGACGUGGCCCCUCUUUGUCCCUCACAUUUCACUGGCUGUGGACCCACACUAACCGCUUUCUCACACCGACAGCUCACUAACAAACCGUUCCCGCCUUUUCUCUUCCAAUGCUCCGCCGUCACGCUACCGCCGCCACCACCACCGUACCCACCGACUGACACGGCGGCGAUGCUACUUUCGUCGUAUCCUUCCGCCGUCGUCACACUCCAGUCAAUACUCGCUUCACUCGGUUCGUAACAGUCCGUCAUCGCCGUCGUCACUGAUCCUUCAUCAAACGAGUCUCUGCUGUUUCUCCGGUACACCGCAGCAGAGUACGACGAUUGCGUUGCAGUUGAGAAACUUUCGAUUUCGAACAAAUCGGAGCUAGCAUCACUAGCCGCGUCGUUAUCAUCGAUGACGAUUCGUGAUAUACCCGGCGGGAAUUGGAAAUUGAGGGUUUUAGUAUCGACGGUGAGUUCUUCCGGUGGUCGGAAAACCUCCAGUGACUCUCUCGGUGGAUCUUCCAAAACGAUGCCGUUUUUGAGUUUUGUUGUUGUUGAAGAUGAAUUAGGGUUUAACACUGGAAAUGUGAAUCCAUCGGUGUAAGGCACUCUUACAGUUGUUGUUACCACUGGUUGAAACCUUUGAGAUUUCGUUACAACAUGAUUCUGUGUUUGAUCAAUGUUAUUGUUAAUCCAAUUGUUGUUCAUUGGUGGUGGUGGUGAAAUUGGUGAAGGAAUUUUGAUAUUGUUUUUGGGAUUUGGAUUUGAAGGGUUUUUGAUGUUAACUGAGAUAGCACCUGCUGGGUGUGAUAACAAACCUUGUUGACUGUUCCAGCUAGCUUCUGAUGAAGCUGUUGGUGUUGCAGCAUGGAAAGAACGAGCUCGAUAGUUUCUGAUGUUUGCAUAACCAUCCAUUGAUGAAGCAGAUGAGUAUCUUGUUGUAUCUGUAUUUGUGUGCGUCGAAUAUGCUGAGUUCUGAGGUGGGAUCGUCGAGUUUGUGGUGGUGAUUAUGAUUAUUUGGCUUUUGGGGUGUGAGAUAGGAUGAGAAAGAUGCAUCUAUAUCUCUUAAGAUGGUUGGUGAUUUUGGAGGCAGGUUACAAUCAAAGCUGAAGAUAACAACAGUAGCUUGGGCUACCACAGAAUACAGUAAAACAAAAUGAAAGAAAAAGCUUCCAUAAAUCACAAGACUCUAGAACAAUGAAGUUUACUAUUACAAAGACCAAAAUUUGCCGGAAUCACUUUUUCCCUUGAACGGAUUGUUUCCCAACUUGAUUUAUGGCUAUUUCUCACAUUCUGUUCUUAUUUACCAAAUUGGUUUUCUCUUCAUGUGGCUCCCUGAUAAGUUUCGUAGUAUUGAUUCAAUAAAGUAGGCAAGGAAGCUAGUCUUAUCUGAGACAUCAAUCACCCGCCAGAUAACAAUGUGAAUAAGUGAGGGUCCAUUAAAUUUGACAUUUAGGGGAAGAAGUUAUGUCUGAACUGUUGAGAGACCAUAAAGAAAUGUCCUUGUGGGUUUACCAUAUCAAUUAUCAUAGGUGGAUCGAUUUGGGAAGCAAGUGUAUAGUGGGUCAUCAUUAACCUUGUAGGUAACAUGCACUGCUUUAUUGCCUGCCUUUAGACAAUUUACGCACGGUUCUUGAUCAGGUGGUGGUCCAAAUUUUGCUGCCUUAGAACAAUAUUUGGAUUACAUGCUUUCUUUCUAUGAUAAUAUAGUAUAUUCUAUUUAUUUCUUGAC